This 496-nucleotide ribosomal RNA is filed under the name uncultured bacterium. RNAcentral describes it as "partial 16S ribosomal RNA". It matches the Rfam family "Bacterial small subunit ribosomal RNA", at positions 28 to 506 of the family's 1533-position model. The record is from RNAcentral.
GAUGAACGCUGGCGGCGUGCCUAAUACAUGCAAGUCGAGCGAACAGACGAGGAGCUUGCUCCUCUGACGUUAGCGGCGGACGGGGGAGUAACACGUGGAUAACCUACCUAUAAGACUGGGAUAACUUCGGGAAACCGGAGCUAAUACCGGAUAAUAUAUUGAACCGCAUGGUUCAAUAGUGAAAGACGGUUUUGCUGUCACUUAUAGAUGGAUCCGCGCCGCAUUAGCUAGUUGGUAAGGUAACGGCUUACCAAGGCAACGAUGCGUAGCCGACCUGAGAGGGUGAUCGGCCACACUGGAACUGAGACACGGGCCAGACUCCUACGGGAGGCAGCAGUAGGGAAUCUUCCGCAAUGGGCGAAAGCUUGACGGAGCAACGCCGCGUGAGUGAUGAAGGUCUUCGGAUCGUAAAACUCUGUUAUUAGGGAAGAACAAAUGUGUAAGUAACUAUGCACGUCUUGACGGUACCUAAUCAGAAAGCCACGGCUAACUACGU